This 329-nucleotide ribosomal RNA is filed under the name uncultured bacterium. RNAcentral describes it as "bacterial SSU rRNA". It matches the Rfam family "Bacterial small subunit ribosomal RNA", at positions 568 to 898 of the family's 1533-position model. The record is from RNAcentral.
CACGCAGGCGGUUAUGCAAGUCUGAUGUGAAAUCUCCGGGCUCAACUCGGAAUCCGCGUUGGAAACUGCAUGACUAGAGUAUUAGAGGGGGAGUCGGAAUUCCUAGUGUAGGGGUGAAAUCUGUUGAUAUUAGGAAGAACACCGGUGGCGAAGGCGGACUCCUGGCUGAAUACUGACGCUGAGGUGCGAAAGCAUAGGGAGCAAACAGGAUUAGAUACCCUGGUAGUCUAUGCUGUAAACGAUGUGCACUUGGUGUUGGGCCGAUUAGGUUCAGUGCCGAAGCUAACGCGAUAAGUGCACCGCCUGGGGAGUAUGCCCGCAAGGGUGAA